GACGAACGCUGGCGGCGUGCUUAACACAUGCAAGUCGAACGGAAAGGCGCUGCGCUUGCGGGGUGCUCGAGUGGCGAACGGGUGAGUAAAACGUGAGUAACCUGCCCUUGACAGUGGGAUAACUUCAGGAAAAUGGGGCUAAUACCGGAGAGGAUCUCCUGCAGCACGGGGGGGGUUGGAAAGUUUCGGCGGUGGUGGAUGGACUAGCGGCUUAUCAGCCUGUUGGGGGGGUAGUGGCUGACCAAGGCUUUGACGGGUAGCCGGCCUGGGAGGGUGACCGGCCACCUUGGUACUGAGAUACGGCCCAGACUGCUACGGGAGGCAGCAGUGGGAAAUAUUGCACAAUGGGCGGAAGCCUGAUGCAGCAGCGCCGCGUGCGGGAUGACGGCCUUCGGGUUGUAAACCGCUUUCGCCUGUGACGAAGCGUGAGUGACGGUAAUGGGUAAGGAAGCACCGGCUAACUACGUG
Molecule: ribosomal RNA, 468 nt
Filed under: uncultured bacterium
Lineage: Bacteria
Description: partial 16S ribosomal RNA
Rfam family: Bacterial small subunit ribosomal RNA
Source: RNAcentral